This 253-nucleotide ribosomal RNA is filed under the name uncultured bacterium. Its description in RNAcentral is "partial 16S ribosomal RNA". It matches the Rfam family "Bacterial small subunit ribosomal RNA", at positions 524 to 776 of the family's 1533-position model. The record is from RNAcentral.
UACAGAGGUCCCAAGCGUUGUUCGGAUUCACUGGGCGUAAAGGGUCCGUAGGCGGUUUUGUAAGUCAGUGGUGAAAGCCCAUCGCUCAACGGUGGAACGGCCAUUGAUACUGCAAGACUUGAAUUAUUAGGAAGUAACUAGAAUAUGUAGUGUAGCGGUGAAAUGCUUAGAGAUUACAUGGAAUACCAAUUGCGAAGGCAGGUUACUACUAGUGGAUUGACGCUGAUGGACGAAAGCGUGGGGAGCGAACAGG